UACGUAGGGGGCAAGCGUUGUCCGGAAUUGUUGGGCGUAAAGAGCUCGUAGGCGGUUUGUCGCGUCUGCUGUGAAAACUCGGGGCUCAACCCCGAGCUUGCAGUGGGUACGGGCAGACUAGAGUGCGGUAGGGGAGACUGGAAUUCCUGGUGUAGCGGUGGAAUGCGCAGAUAUCAGGAGGAACACCGGUGGCGAAGGCGGGUCUCUGGGCCGUAACUGACGCUGAGGAGCGAAAGCAUGGGGAGCGAACAGG
RNAcentral lists this ribosomal RNA (253 nucleotides) under uncultured bacterium. RNAcentral describes it as "partial 16S ribosomal RNA". It matches the Rfam family "Bacterial small subunit ribosomal RNA", at positions 524 to 776 of the family's 1533-position model. The record is from RNAcentral.